UGGCUUCGGUAAUCCCCGCAUUCUUUAUUUCAUAUUUAAAUUGUGCUUGCAGACUUUCCCAUAAGGUGCUGCCUCACUCAGCAACAUAAUGGACCAGGAGACAAUUGCAGCCUGAGAGGUGUUGCCUUUGCAACAUGCUCUCAUAAUCUUUGCCAAUGGAAAUGUUACACGAAAUGCUAGAUUCCCUGGAUUGGAUCCAUCGGUCUCUGAUCGAGUUAAGAACCAGACAUGGGCUGUGAAGUCCGAUCACAUAAUUGAUGUCAUUCAGAAAUUAGGUUCACCGCUCACUAAGUGCUGAUGGAAGAAAUCUUGGGCUCCCCCAAUUACCAGGUCAAGGAUGCUCUUUCAUAGCUUUCGAUCAAACACAUACAAACUGAGCUUUAUGGAGAGUCCCUCUGGG
Non-coding RNA from Amborella trichopoda, 400 nucleotides. The record is from RefSeq and is a predicted model, not a curated record. Lineage: Eukaryota; Viridiplantae; Streptophyta; Magnoliopsida; Amborellales; Amborellaceae.